Molecule: long non-coding RNA, 416 nt
Filed under: Pongo abelii (Sumatran orangutan)
Lineage: Eukaryota; Metazoa; Chordata; Mammalia; Primates; Hominidae
Description: lincRNA
Source: RNAcentral
AGAAGGUGGAUUUGGGAAGGCAGCCCGGGGUCCAAAUCCUCCUGGCUCUUCAGCUUAGCGGGAUGUCACCCUCAGUGUCUGAAAGCUGGGUUUGAUGCGUCUGGAAAGGCUCCCCUGACAGGCAUCAUUGCCGGGAGCCCCUAGUGCCGCCAGCAGCCAGCAGGGGAGGGCGUCCUCUGCCCGCUCACUUCUGACCCUUCUCAGGGAGCAGCCUGGGCUGCGCGGAAGGCUCAGAUUUGGGGAUGGCCCUUGCCAGUGACAGUGACCUGGGGUGUCUUGGAAACUCCCAGUCUCAGCUUCUCCAUUUAUAAGAUGAGAAUGAUCAUACCAGCCUCAGGCAAGGUUGUUUGUGCAUUAGUGAAAUCAGACGUAUUAAAUAAAGUACCAUAUUGAUCAUGGAGUUGUUGAAUAACCAA